GGAAUUACUGGGCGUAAAGCGCAUGCAGGCGGUUUGUUAAGUCAGAUGUGAAAGCCCGGGGCUCAACCUCGGAACCGCAUUUGAAACUGGCAGGCUAGAGUCUUGUAGAGGGGGGUAGAAUUUCAGGUGUAGCGGUGAAAUGCGUAGAGAUCUGAAGGAAUACCAGUGGCGAAGGCGGCCCCCUGGACAAAGACUGACGCUCAGAUGCGAAAGCGUGGGUAGCAAACAGGAUUAGAUACCCUGGUAGUCCACGCCGUAAACGCUGUCUACUUGGAGGUUGAGGUUUAGACUUUGGCUUUCGGCGCUAACGCAUUAAGUAGACCGCCUGGGGAGUACGGCCGCAAGGUUAAAACUCAAAUGAAUUGACGGGGGCCCGCACAAGCGGUGGAGCAUGUGGUUUAAUUCGAUGCAACGCGAAGAACCUUACCUACUCUUGACAUCCAGCGAAGCCUUUAGAGAUAGAGGCGUGCCUUCGGGAGCGCUGAGACAGGUGCUGCAUGGCUGUCGUCAGCUCGUGUUGUGAAAUGUUGGGUUAAGUCCCGCAACGAGCGCAACCCUUAUCCUUGUUUGCCAGCACGUAAUGGUGGGAACUCCAGGGAGACUGCCGGUGAUAAACCGGAGGAAGGUGGGGACGACGUCAAGUCAUCAUGGCCCUUACGAGUAGGGCUACACACGUGCUACAAUGGCAGAUACAGAGGGCAGCGAAGCUGCGAAGUGGAGCGAAUCCCUUAAAGUCUGUCGUAGUCCGGAUUGGAGUCUGCAACUCGACUCCAUGAAGUCGGAAUCGCUAGUAAUCGUGGAUCAGAAUGCCACGGUGAAUACGUUCCCGGGCCUUGCACACACCGCCCGU
RNAcentral lists this ribosomal RNA (850 nucleotides) under uncultured bacterium. RNAcentral describes it as "bacterial SSU rRNA". It matches the Rfam family "Bacterial small subunit ribosomal RNA", at positions 547 to 1397 of the family's 1533-position model. The record is from RNAcentral.